Molecule: long non-coding RNA, 3741 nt
Organism: Cervus elaphus (red deer)
Lineage: Eukaryota; Metazoa; Chordata; Mammalia; Artiodactyla; Cervidae
Exons: 3
Source: RefSeq, a predicted model, not a curated record
GGGCGUGGCCACCGGCGCCCCACCCCUUUCCCUCAGACCCGGAGCCCUACCCGGAGGAACUGCCGCUCCAGCCCCUCCUCCCCCAGCCUUCGGUCCGUGGCCCCUGGGACCGCUCCGGCUCCAACAGGCAGAGUCCUGUCAAACGUAGACACACGCCCCGCGAGAGCUGGAAAUCUCAAGCGUGCAGACGCUCAGCGAGAGGCAGGCUGAGUAAAACCUGGAGGGCCCGCCGGUAACUAACGGUCGUGCAGUCUCCUUGGUUUCUCAACAGGCAGAAUUUCGACCAGAGGAUCCACAGCCUGGCCGAACCUCCUCAGGGAUGACAGGGGCAGCUUCGUCGUCUGCUUCCGUGACUGGUUUUGCUCGCAAGGCCAGGCCCCCCGGCCACCAGGCCCGUUUAGGAGCUCACUUUGGGUCCAGGUCAAGAUUCUCCGGGUGGCUCAGUGGUCAAGAACCGCCUGCUAACGCGGGAGAUGCGGGAGAUGCGGGUUCCGUCCCUGGGCCCGGAGGAUGCCCCGGAGGAGGAGAUGGCAACCCACUCCAGUAUUUUUGCCUGGAAAAUUCCAUGGACAGAGGAUCCUGGUGGACUGCAGUCCAUGGGGCCACAGAAGAGUCGGACAGGACUGAACACAAGCUUCUUACCGGGAUCUGGGUUCUCCUGCCUCCAGGGCUGAAGACCUGGCUUUGGGGGUAGACUAAACUGAAUCAGAACCUGGACAACUUACUCAACCCCUCUGUGAUUCCUGUCUACAGAUGGAUGUGUGCUAUUGUCUGUCUAGUUCAUAGGUUGAUGUGAGACCUGAGUGAGGCGUGUAAUGUACUUAGCAUGUGGCCUGUCACAGAGCAAAGCUCUCAACAGGCGUCAGCUGCUGCAGUGACUCAGCAGACAGUACUGAUGCUCGGUUAGGGAUUGCAGCUGAGCUCUGCUGGCAGGAGAAGCCUGGGGCAGGAGGAGUCAGACACAGAUGCUGAGAGCCUGGAGCGCACAUUGGCCAGGAUGGCCGUCCUCUCUAAUACGCAGUUCCCAAAUGGAAUGGCAUUUGCCCUGGAUUUCUCCUGAGGCUUGAUUCCUUGGCUUGUAGAUGCCCAUCUUCUCACUGUAUCUUCACAUGGUCUUUCCUCUGUGUGGGUCUGAGUUGGCAUCCUUUCUCUGUUUGGUCAGACAGUAAAUAUUUUGGUGGCAUACAGUCUGUGUAGCAACUCUUCUAGUUUGCUGCUGUAGCAUGAAAGCAGCCACAGAUAAUACAUAAAUGAAUGAAAGUAACUACUUUCUAGUGAAAUUUUAUUUACAAAAACAGAUAGUGGAUCCUCAUCCAGCAUUACCAGAACCCCUCAGAUGAACUGAUACUCAACCCCUUCCAGACCCCACAGAAAAGCAGUCAGAGGCCUGUUCUAGUGGAGGGGGGCGGGGUGGCAGCCAGACUCUCCAGUUUGGAGCUGGACACAGAGAGACACUCCCAAGUGACCCAAAGGACACCAGCUCAGGUGAUGAGCACCGACCUCUAGGCUCCCCACGAGAUAAGUCACCCAAUUCCUGCCCACCCCCCACCAUCCAGCCCCUCAGAAUGGCCUUCACUAGACUGGACAAUGGGUGGUGAAGCUCCAGGCUCAGAAGAGCUCCCUAACUCCAUCCUCCUGAGAUGAGCUCCCUUCUCCGUCAAAGUCCUCAUACCUUCAGUGACUCUGAAGGACACUGAUUGUCUCUGUGUCCCAUUGAUUUUCCUCUUAUGUGACUCUGCUGGGCUUCUCCUUUGAGCAAAGUGACUGGUGGGAGAAGCUUCUAUAGUUGGUAAGACUUGGCUAUCAGCCUCAAAUGACGUGGGGGUGACUGCUGGUUUUGCGGUCCUUUAGGAAUUUGUAUUAAUGGUAUCAUACAGUAUGUGGUCUUUUGUAUCUAACUUCUGUUUUGCAUUGUGUUUGUGAGAUUUAUCUGUAUUGUUGUGAUCAUAGUUUAUUCAUUUUCAUUGCUGAUUAGUGUUCCGUUGUAUGAUUAGAUCAAAUUUAUCAAUAAAUACCUGUUCUACUACUGAUGUUCAUUUGGGUGGCCUCCAGUUUGGGGCCGUUACAAAUGAUGCUCCUAUGUACAUUGUCCUCCAUGUCUUCUGGGGCACAGGCACUUGGAUUUCUGUUGAGUGUGUACCUAGGAAUGGAAUUGCCCCAUCGGUAGGUGCACGGUGUUAGAUGCAGUGGAUUCUGCAAACAGUUUUCUAAAGCAGUUGUGGUGGUUUGCCCUUCCACUAGUAGAGACGAGAAUUCUUGCUACUCUACAUCGGAGGCUGAGAAACACUUUGUCUAAAGGGCCAGACAGUAAAUGUUCUAGAUUUUGAGUAUCCGUCACUGCUAUUCAACUUGGCUUUGCAGCAGUGUGUAGAAAAGUGAUUAUGUAGAAAACAGUGUGUAGAAAAGUGAUUAUGGCCGUGCUCCGAUACAGCUGUAUUGGUGAAGCAGUCCAUGGGCUGUGUUUGGUCCACAAACAAAGGGUUGGCUGUAGUUUACCAACCCUUGUUCUACAUUCUUUCCAACGUGAGGUACUUCUUAACUUCAGGCAUUUUGAUGUUUAUUUGCAGUUCUUCGAGGAAAAGUGAGAGGACCUCCUUGUGAAACCCUUCCUCAUUUGCAGGGUUCCUUGUUGAGGCUUUCAGCUCAUGGGGUUGCCUGUCUUUUUCUCAUUGAUUUCUACUAGUUCUUUAUAUAUUUCUGGGUGGAUAUUCUUCAUCUGUUACAGGUUAACAAUAUUCCCACUGUGUAGCUUGCCUUUUCUCCUUAUGAUGCUUCUUCAUAUGCUGUUAAAUUUGGCCAAUAUUGAAGACAUCCUUCCUUAUAUUUUCAUUGUUUUUUUGUUUCUUCUAUUUUUACUAAAUUCUUAUGAUGGAUGCUUACCUUUUAAAUUUUUAGUCUUGUUUAUUUUAUUUAUUAGUCUCAUGUAUUUUCACUUAAGACUGUAAAUUUCCUUCUGGAACAGGAUUAACUGCAUGACCCAAGUUUUCCUAUUAGUAAUUCCAUUAUGAUUCAGCUCUAAAUAUAUUAGCUUCCAUAAUGAUUUUUCUUUAGCUUAUGAAUUAUUUAGAAAUAUGUGUUUAUUUUAAAAAUACGGGUUUAAAAACCUUUCUUUUGGUCAUUAAUUUAGAAACCAGAUGGGUUAGAAGCUAAUUGUGUUGCCAGAGACCUUGGAGUGUCUUUUCAGUUCUUUGGGACUUGCUGAGCUGCUGCCUGGUCAGUUUUAAUGCAUGUUUCUAGUUUUUGUGUUGAAUGUGUAGUUCUUGGUAUUGUGGCUUAGUUGAUUGUCUCCCAUAUCUUGAAACCCUGGGUGAUCCUGUCCUUUGCUCAUUGCUUGCACCCCACUCCACCUACUAUCACAGACAUUGAAUUUCCUCAGGGCGAAACCAGCUUAAGUCGUUUACCUAUCUGGAGUCCCAUUUUUGUUUAAUUAUUUGGUCUCUGAGAAUUUCAUGUAUUGUUUUCAUCCCAGUAAUCACCAGCUCAAUGGACAUGAGUUUGAGCAAGCUCCGGGAGUUGGUGAUGGACAGGGAGGUCUGUUGUGCUGCAGUCUGUGGGGUCACAAAGAGUCAGACGCGACUGAGCGACUGAACUGGACUGAAUACACAGAGCAGCAACUUUUAGAUAACUAGAAAAGCUGAACAAAAUACACAUAGCAGCUGACCGAAAGCAACAGCAAGAUAUCAAGAUGUAUGGCUCACUGGUAAAGAAUCUGCCUGCCAGUGCAGGAGAUGCAGAUUUGAU